CUGGCUAUUAGGAAGGAAAAAAAAAUGGUGUGGAGAAAGACGGGCUCUGGUUCCUUACGGCCCAUUUUCUCUCCAGGCUUUUCUUGGUUUCCAGCUUUUGCUUUUUAAAUUUUUCCCUGUCUUUUUGGUUGAAAAUGUACAAAAUGUGUAUUUUAAAUAUCAAAAAAUUAUACAUUUUGAACAUGACAAAAUCUUAGAUCCACAAUACGUUUUUACAAAAAUAUUAUUUUAAAAAUACCGUCUGCUUUCUCUCUACUUGAAUUAAAAUGUCAUGUUCAUUUCUUAUCUUCUGAUCUGUUCAAUCUGACAUUUGUUAGAUGUGAAAAAGUUCUGCAGACUAUUUCAGAGAAUAUUUUUAAAAUGUGAACAACCGACAUGUAAAAUGUCCGCGGGAGCACGCUUGCGGAGUUCACAUUCAUUUUUCAGACGCUGGGGUGCUGGGAACGGCGGGCGUCCUUCCUGGGUACCGCGGGGCGGCCGUCCCGGGCCGGGUCCCCUUCCUCCUCGGGGCACCGACGGCCUCUCCUGGCCGGGCUGAGGCCGGCUCGGCCCCGUGCGGCCUUCCGGUUUGCUAGCAUUUUCCUUCUGGGACGCGCACGGAGGCUGUGGAGAGACCCGGCCGGGGUCCGAGGGGGUGGGCGGCCCUAGCGCGGGUCGGGCCGCGGGUCCCACCUGCUGCCGCCCGCCCCGAGUGCCCCAGAGACUCUGCCGCCGCCCGAGCGCGCGGCCCGGGCCACCUGAUGGAACGUGCGGAGCUCACUCCUCCACCUGGCGCCCAUUUGGCUUUUUAUUAUCUGCCUCCCGCAUCCUAACUGGUUCCAGAUUUGCAACCUCAGAGGCGCAGACACCCGGCUGGGCCACGCCAUCGAUCCCCAGGUACCCCGAAGCAAUUACAGCCACUGCGUCGCGGCAGCCCGGCGCCCCUGAGGGCUGCUCCAGACGGCGCCCCCCCGCGGGGCUCCUUCCAGGGCCUCGGGCCUUUCCGGGCGAGAGCACCGUAGCAGGCGGGGAGUGGGGCGCCGGCGCUGGCACUUCAGAGCUGGGACCCGCUGCCCCCGGCACCAGCCCGGCCUUCCCCGAGCGCAGCGCACAGCCUCCACCAGAUGGAGUCUUGCUCUGUUGUCAGGCUGGAGUGCAGCGGCCACUGUUACCUCCGCCUCCCGGGUUCACGCGAUUCUCCUGCCUCAGCCUCCCAAGUAGCUGGGACUACAGGCCCAGCUCCAUGAUGAUGCCUCUCUCCAGAGACCUCCUGACCUCCUGACCUGCACAGCCCGGGAGACCACAGCCCACAGCCGCUGCCCCAGGUGUCCACAAGCAUCUCAGCCCCUCCACAGCCCACGCAUCUCCUCUUUCAUUGGCUCAUGGGGAGUGAAGGACAAUGUCUGAAUUAAAUGCCGUGCUUUAAACUGAAAGGGAAACUUAGCAAAUAAAUGAGAGUAACAACACUAGAUCAUUGGCCAGUGUGGUUGCAAUUCUUCCUUUCCCUCCAGAUUUCUGUUUAACCUUUAAAUCUCAUUUCGGCAUGCCUCUUGGUCCUCCUUGGAUUGAUAUUAAGUUGUACACAGGCUACUUCUUGUAAGACGAUGAGAACUCUUGCCGAUAUUUUACAACGUCUUACUCUGAACUUUCCCCUAUUCUUUCUGCCUAGAUGCAUUAUUUUCAGGAAAUCUAUGUUGUAAGACAGAGGUAGGCAAACCAGGGUUGCGGGCCAAGUCCUUCCCACAGCCUGUUUUUGUAAAUAAAGUUUUAUUGGAAUGCAGCCAAGCUUGUUCAUUUACACAUCAUCUAUGGCUGCUUCUGUCCUGCCAUAGCACUGUUGAGUAGUUGCGACAGAGACCACGUGACCUGCAAAGCCCAAAAUAUUUACUAUCUGACCCAUUACAGAAAACGUUGCCAAUAUCCUGUCGUAAGAUAUGCUGAAAUGUUUAAUUCUUUGAGGACUGGGGCACAAAAUUAUGUAUUUUUUUAAUCCACCAUGCUAAAAGAAGGAAAAUUCAUUUACUGUAAUAUGUCCUG
RNAcentral lists this long non-coding RNA (2016 nucleotides) under Homo sapiens (human). RNAcentral describes it as "HSALNT0216121". Lineage: Eukaryota; Metazoa; Chordata; Mammalia; Primates; Hominidae. The record is from RNAcentral.